GACGAACGCUGGCGGCGUGCCUAAUACAUGCAAGUAGAACGCUGAGGAGAGGAGCUUGCUCUUCUUGGAUGAGUUGCGAACGGGUGAGUAACGCGUAGGUAACCUGCCUUGUAGCGGGGGAUAACUAUUGGAAACGAUAGCUAAUACCGCAUAACAAUGGAUGACACAUGUCAUUUAUUUGAAAGGGGCAAUUGCUCCACUACAAGAUGGACCUGCGUUGUAUUAGCUAGUAGGUGAGGUAAUGGCUCACCUAGGCGACGAUACAUAGCCGACCUGAGAGGGUGAUCGGCCACACUGGGACUGAGACACGGCCCAGACUCCUACGGGAGGCAGCAGUAGGGAACCUUCGGCAAUGGGGGCAACCCUGACCGAGCAACGCCGCGUGAGUGAAGAAGGUUUUCGGAUCGUAAAGCUCUGUUGUAAGUCAAGAACGGGUGUGAGAGUGGAAAGUUCACACUGUGACGGUAGCUUACCAGAAAGGGACGGCUAACUACGUG
This 497-nucleotide ribosomal RNA is filed under the name uncultured bacterium. RNAcentral's name for it is "partial 16S ribosomal RNA". It matches the Rfam family "Bacterial small subunit ribosomal RNA", at positions 28 to 507 of the family's 1533-position model. The record is from RNAcentral.